UCCACCUCCCCCUACUUCUCCUCCUUUUUUUGAUGAUGAUGAUGACGGUGACCCCAGAAAACAGCCCGAGAGUAGGCAGAUGACACGCCUCCUGCCGUCGACGACGUCUUCAAUCGAAUGGGACGACGACCACUAUAUGCAACAAUAACAAGUCGUUCGGAACAAGAA
Molecule: non-coding RNA, 168 nt
Organism: Caenorhabditis elegans
Lineage: Eukaryota; Metazoa; Nematoda; Chromadorea; Rhabditida; Rhabditidae
Source: Ensembl